This is a long non-coding RNA of Larimichthys crocea (large yellow croaker), 507 nucleotides long. RefSeq lists it as uncharacterized. The record is from RefSeq and is a predicted model, not a curated record. The transcript has 3 exons. Lineage: Eukaryota; Metazoa; Chordata; Actinopteri; Sciaenidae.
CACAAGGGGGCACAAGCCAGUGUCUUAUUGUGCCGGUCCCAAGCCCGGAUAAAUACAGAGGGUUGUGUCAGGAAGGGCAUCCGAUGUAAAACUUGCCAAAUCAAAAAUGCAAAUUGAAUCUGAAAUCUCUGUGCAUUCCCAGAUCAAAGCCUAUUGUAUUGGUGGAAGCUACAGUGUCUUUCAGCCCAAGUCAAAUCCCUACUCAAAAAGGAGACUGCUCACAACCAUUGAGGACCAAAGCUGAAAUCUGUUUUACCAUGACCAAACGCUCUUCAGUAGACCAAGCAAGCGCAAGGAUCAACUGUAAUUUUACACUGGAUUCCACCCGCAAGGCCCCAAACAACCGAGCUUACAUCAGUGAGAAACAACGUAUGACAAACAAAUCAGUUGACCUUGACUUACGACAGCCAAAGUGCUUUGAUGUGAACUUCUUUGUUGAGCCUUGUCCUGAAGAUGCUCUCAAUGUACUGUCCAAUGAACUCACAUUCACCUUUGAGGGUUUGCCUU